This is a non-coding RNA of Pelobates cultripes (western spadefoot toad), 251 nucleotides long. The record is from the annotation of a GenBank genome assembly. Lineage: Eukaryota; Metazoa; Chordata; Amphibia; Anura; Pelobatidae.
AUUCACUUACCUGUAACCCAGCUCAUUACAUACCUGCAACCUGGGCAUUUAUUCACUUACCUGUAACCCAGCUCAUUACAUACCUGCAACCUGGGCAUUUAUUCACUUACCUGUAAACCAGCUCAUUACAUACCUGCAACCUGGGCAUUUAUUCACUUACAUGUAACCCAGCUCAUUACAUACCUGCAACCUAGGCAUUUAUUCACUUACCUGUAUCAUAGGUUUUUAUUUACCUGCAACUCGAGCAUUUA